This 265-nucleotide ribosomal RNA is filed under the name uncultured Staphylococcus sp. RNAcentral describes it as "partial 16S ribosomal RNA". It matches the Rfam family "Bacterial small subunit ribosomal RNA", at positions 96 to 355 of the family's 1533-position model. Lineage: Bacteria; Bacillati; Bacillota; Bacilli; Caryophanales; Staphylococcaceae. The record is from RNAcentral.
CGGCGGACGGGUAGUAACACGUGGAUAACCUACCUAUAAGACUGGGAUAACUUCGGGAAACCGGAGCUAAUACCGGAUAAUAUAUUGAACCGCAUGGUUCAAUAGUGAAAGACGGUUUUGCUGUCACUUAUAGAUGGAUCCGCGCCGCAUUAGCUAGUUGGUAAGGUAACGGCUUACCAAGGCAACGAUGCGUAGCCGACCUGAGAGGGUGAUCGGCCACACUGGAACUGAGACACGGUCCAGACUCCUACGGGAGGCAGCAGCU